UGAAUUGAUCUGUGAAGUGGUCUCGUUAUUUAUACUACUCCUCUUGUCUUCAACUCUUAUGUUGUUAGCGAUGUGGGACUUUGGAACGAGUUAAAAGUUAAAAACAAAACAAACCGCCUCUCUUUAAUUGGGCUUUGCACGAGUUCCCCCAAUCGGAUUUUUAAUCCACACGGUAGCCCAUAUAAUAUCAGAUUUUGGUUUAGCAUAACCGGAUCAAUUAUACAUAAUCAAGAAUAGUAAAGCUAAUUAGACCAAGUUGAGCCGGUACC
This is a long non-coding RNA of Arabidopsis thaliana (thale cress), 269 nucleotides long. RefSeq annotates it as other RNA. The transcript has a single exon. Lineage: Eukaryota; Viridiplantae; Streptophyta; Magnoliopsida; Brassicales; Brassicaceae. The record is from RefSeq.